GCUAUGNNGGGGNGCUAUACAUGCAAGUCGAACGCUGAUUAUCGAAGGCUUGCUUUUGAUAUGAUGAGUGGCGAAUGGGCGAGUAACACGUGGGAAACCUACCUCUUAGCAGGGGAUAACAUUUGGAAACAGAUGCUAAUACCGUAUAACAGUUAAAACCGCAUGGUUUUAAUUUAAAAGAUGGUUCUGCUAUCACUAAGAGAUGGUCCCGCGGUGCAUUAGCUAGAUGGUGAGGUAACGGCUCACCAUGGCGAUGAUGCAUAGCCGAGUUGAGAGACUGAUCGGCCACAAUGGGACUGAGACACGGCCCAUACUCCUACGGGAGGCAGCAGUAGGGAAUCUUCCACAAUGGGCGCAAGCCUGAUGGAGCAACGCCGCGUGUGUGAUGAAGGGUUUCGGCUCGUAAAGCACUGUUGUAAGAGAAGAAUGACAUUGAGAGUAACUGUUCAGUGUGUGACGGUAUCUUACCAGAAAGGGACGGCUAAAUACGUGCCAGCAGCCGCGGUAAUACGUAUGUCCCAAGCGUUAUCCGGAUUUAUUGGGCGUAAAGCGAGCGCAGACGGUUAUUUAAGUCUGAAGUGAAAGCCCUCAGCUCAACUGAGGAAUUGCUUUGGAAACUGGAUGACUUGAGUGCAGUAGAGGAAAGUGGAACUCCAUGUGUAGCGGUGGAAUGCGUAGAUAUAUGGAAGAACACCAGUGGCGAAGGCGGCUUUCUGGACUGUAACUGACGUUGAGGCUCGAAAGUGUGGGUAGCAAACAGGAUUAGAUACCCUGGUAGUCCACACCGUAAACGAUGAGUGCUAGAUGUUUGGGGGUUUCCGCCCCUAAGUGUCGCAGCUAACGCAUUAAGCACUCCGCCUGGGGAGUACGACCGCAAGGUUGAAACUCAAAGGAAUUGACGGGGACCCGCACAAGCGGUGGAGCAUGUGGUUUAAUUCGAAGCAAC
Molecule: ribosomal RNA, 946 nt
Filed under: uncultured bacterium
Lineage: Bacteria
Description: bacterial SSU rRNA
Rfam family: Bacterial small subunit ribosomal RNA
Source: RNAcentral